AACGCCGCGUGAGUGAAGAAGGUUUUCGGAUCGUAAAACUCUGUUGUUAGAGAAGAACAAGGAUGAGAGUAACUGUUCAUCCCUUGACGGUAUCUAACCAGAAAGCCACGGCUAACUACGUGCCAGCAGCCGCGGUAAUACGUAGGUGGCAAGCGUUGUCCGGAUUUAUUGGGCGUAAAGCGAGCGCAGGCGGUUUCUUAAGUCUGAUGUGAAAGCCCCCGGCUCAACCGGGGAGGGUCAUUGGAAACUGGGAGACUUGAGUGCAGAAGAGGAGAGUGGAAUUCCAUGUGUAGCGGUGAAAUGCGUAGAUAUAUGGAGGACACCAGUGGCGAAGCGGCUCUCUGGGUCUGUAACUGACGCUGAGGGCUCGAAAGGGGUGGGGGAGGCAAACAGGAUAUAAGAUAACCCUGGGUAGUC
Molecule: ribosomal RNA, 417 nt
Filed under: bacterium
Lineage: Bacteria
Description: bacterial SSU rRNA
Rfam family: Bacterial small subunit ribosomal RNA
Source: RNAcentral